UGAGGAAUAUUGGUCAAUGGGCGCAGGCCUGAACCAGCCAAGUAGCGUGAAGGAUGACUGCCCUAUGGGUUGUAAACUUCUUUUAUAUGGGAAUAAAGUUUUCCACGUGUGGAAUUUUGUAUGUACCAUAUGAAUAAGGAUCGGCUAACUCCGUGCCAGCAGCCGCGGUAAUACGGAGGAUCCGAGCGUUAUCCGGAUUUAUUGGGUUUAAAGGGAGCGUAGGUGGACAGUUAAGUCAGUUGUGAAAGUUUGCGGCUCAACCGUAAAAUUGCAGUUGAUACUGGCUGUCUUGAGUACAGUAGAGGUGGGCGGAAUUCGUGGUGUAGCGGUGAAAUGCUUAGAUAUCACGAAGAACUCCGAUUGCGAAGGCAGCUCACUGGACUGCAACUGACACUGAUGCUCGAAAGUGUGGGUAUCAAACA
RNAcentral lists this ribosomal RNA (422 nucleotides) under uncultured bacterium. Its description in RNAcentral is "bacterial SSU rRNA". It matches the Rfam family "Bacterial small subunit ribosomal RNA", at positions 355 to 774 of the family's 1533-position model. The record is from RNAcentral.